CUACGGGCGGCAGCAGUGGGGAAUAUUGCACAAUGGGCGCAAGCCUGAUGCAGCCAUGCCGCGUGUAUGAAGAAGGCCUUCGGGUUGUAAAGUACUUUCAGCGGGGAGGAAGGGAGUAAAGUUAAUACCUUUGCUCAUUGACGUUACCUGCAGAAGAAGCACCGGCUAACUCCGUGCCAGCAGCCGCGGUAAUACGGAGGGUGCAAGCGUUAAUCGGAAUUACUGGGCGUAAAGCGCACGCAGGCGGUUUGUUAAGUCAGAUGUGAAAUCCCCGGGCUCAACCUGGGAACUGCAUCUGAUACUGGCAAGCUUGAGUCUAGUAGAGGGGGGUAGAAUUCCAGGUGUAGCGGUGAAAUGCGUAGAGAUCUGGAGGAAUACCGGUGGCGAAGGCGGCCCCCUGGACGAAGACUGACGCUCAGGUGCGAAAGCGUGGGGAGCAAACAGGAUUAGAUACCCUUGUAGUC
RNAcentral lists this ribosomal RNA (464 nucleotides) under uncultured bacterium. Its description in RNAcentral is "partial 16S ribosomal RNA". It matches the Rfam family "Bacterial small subunit ribosomal RNA", at positions 339 to 795 of the family's 1533-position model. The record is from RNAcentral.